This is a long non-coding RNA of Herpailurus yagouaroundi (jaguarundi), 738 nucleotides long. RefSeq lists it as uncharacterized. The record is from RefSeq and is a predicted model, not a curated record. The transcript is spliced from 3 exons. Lineage: Eukaryota; Metazoa; Chordata; Mammalia; Carnivora; Felidae.
GCCGGCUUCAAGGACCCGUCUGGGCCCUCCUUAGAUGAUAAUGUCAACAGAAACACAAACAGAUGGGGGGUGGGGUGGUCUGGGGGCUCCUCGGAAUGAAGUGCAGACAGGAAUUCGUGCUGGUCGCAGGCAGAGAAACUCCACGUGACCCCUACUCUCUGGACCUGGCCACUGCGGUGAAUGUUCCCAGCUGAGUUUCGGAACCUGCAGAGAGCUGGUCGGAUCCAGCCCAAGAGAACCAGGAGGGGGUGGGCCGUCCUUUAUCCCGUGUUCCCUCAGCCUGGUGGGCGGUAGCUGGGGUGCAACCCCCCACCCCCACCCCGACCCCCAGGGUGGCCGUGGAUUCAGGCAAGGCCCCGCCGCUGUGGCCGCGGCUUCUCUCGCUCCCUCCCCCACCCCAGAUGGUGUGGCUGAUGCUGUCCCUCUGUGUCACGCCGUCAAUGAGGUACUAUCUUCAUGUUCGUGGACGGACGAGGAACCUGAGGCACAGUGCGUCUGAAUAGCCCGCGCGAGGUCUCACCCUGCUGGGAUUAGCUCGUAACUUGGUUUUCGCGCAUCCAGUUGAGAAUGUGUCUGAUGGCACAGAAGGAAGAUCACCAGCACAAAGUCACUGAACACUUCACAAUGAUGACACAAAUGCAUUUUCAAGAAUAAGCCAUCUCAAAUUCUGUGGCGGGGCGCCUGGGGCGUUCGGUGGGUUGAGCGUCAGACUCUUGACUUCGGCUCAGGUCCCGAUCU